CUCCGCUUCUAUUUCUUAUUUUGCAACUCUUUUCGUGGAAACUUCAAGCGGUUCCAGAAACAAAAGCUUUCAGGCAUUUGGAAGUUGCACACUGAGAGAUUUGUGAGUUAUACGUGGGACAAGGAUAGCAUCUACCAUCUGCCACAGGAAUGAAUCAUCAACAAGGUUGUUUGUGCUAAAUUUCUUCUUGAUCUACUACUAAUGAAGGUUUUACUGGAUUAUCUGCUUAAAGGUCAAAAUGCUAAUUAGGA
Molecule: long non-coding RNA, 251 nt
Filed under: Vulpes vulpes (red fox)
Lineage: Eukaryota; Metazoa; Chordata; Mammalia; Carnivora; Canidae
Description: lncRNA (ENSVVUG00000024052.1)
Source: RNAcentral